AUGGUCUCGAAAGAGGGAAGAAAGGAUGAAACAGCACAACGCUUAGAUGGCAGAGUCGGAGCUGCGCACUGCACUGGUCGGUUUUCCCAGCUUGAUCUCCAUGUACAGCUACAUCUUUAGGAUUGGCUGCCGUUUCUAUCCGUAAUAUAAUUAAAACAAAUCAGGAAAAAUCUCUGCCCACCCCCCACCUCCAGCAUUCAGAGAUUAAUGCAAGCAUUUAACAAUGCUUUCCUGUAAGGAUCUUCGUGCCUGCCUUGUGUUUUGGUGGAAAAUCUUAUCUAUUAAAAUGGAUUGAAAGUAAAACAAGGAAGACGUUUGACUGUCUCAGUUCAGAGGUAUUAUUAUAAUAUAAUAUUAUGAUGUAAGUAUAUCUAUGUAUUGCCAAACAAUGAAUAGUAUACCAGAAUACAUUACUAUAUACAGUAUAAUAGAAUACAAUAGUAUUGUAUGUUUGAUAUAAAAGUAUGCCUAUAGUUAAAACUGGUUAAAUUAUACUAAUAGUACAUUUACAAAGAUGAGGGGAGAAUAUCUGAUGCUGAGACAAGCCAUUUACAUUGUCGUUUAUUGUCACUUAAAUGUAUGUCCAGAAAGAAACCAAGAUCUGGAGUAUAAUGAGAAGAGAUCCCGCUCUAGGACCAUAAUAUCCUGAGAAUUUUAUUAAUGAGUCUAUUUUUGCAAGCCACCUUAUUCCAGCCAACGAGACCUCUAGCUUUUUGGUCUGUCCAGUAUCACCACCUAAAAUCAGCCGUCUUUUCAUUUAGGCUGGCUCUAUGGGUUAGGCUGAGAGUGAAUGCACCCAGCUGGCUAAGGCGGGACUUGAACUUUCUGAAGUAUGGGACGCUCAAGUCGACAGCUGCUGGAUAUAAUAAGCCUUGGUUGUUUGGAUUCUCACCGCAAGCAGAGAAAUGACUGGGGAAAGCAAUGACCGUCCACCACUCAGACAGAAAGGAGCCUGGCUCUGCAAUUUCCCUCCAUCUGCGAUUCGGAUUCUGGAAAUUGCCCGCGAUGCCUUUGGCCCAAGGGAAACAGUUGCCCGGGAGAGUAACAAAAGCAUCUCACUCCCCUCCCCUCUCCAGCACCACAGGGCAAGUACAGCGCCUUCUACCGAUUCUGUGUUGGGGCCACAAAUCUACUAGGCAAGUCCAUUCAGACCAGCGGGCUUUCCCGUUAAAAUCGGCGGCAUUUAGACUGCAUGCCGCCGCUUUGUGUUGCCUGCUAAAUCGGACGGGUUUAUCUAGCAGUAGGUCCCAAUUAAAACGCACAUACAUACGUGUCUUUAAAGCAGGACACCAAGA
Molecule: long non-coding RNA, 1295 nt
Organism: Ahaetulla prasina
Lineage: Eukaryota; Metazoa; Chordata; Lepidosauria; Squamata; Colubridae
Exons: 5
Source: RefSeq, a predicted model, not a curated record